UAGCGGAGGAAAGAAACCAACAGGGAUUGCCCUAGUAACGGCGAGUGAAGCGGCAAAAGCUCAAAUUUGAAAUCUGGCCCUAGCGGUCCGAGUUGUAAUUUGCAGAGGAUGCUUUUGGUGCGGUGCCUUCCGAGUUCCCUGGAACGGGACGCCAUAGAGGGUGAGAGCCCCGUACGGUUGGACACCUAGCCUCUAUAUAGCUCCUUCGACGAGUCGAGUAGUUUGGGAAUGCUGCUCUAAAUGGGAGGUAAAUUUCUUCUAAAGCUAAAUACCGGCCAGAGACCGAUAGCGCACAAGUAGAGUGAUCGAAAGAUGAAAAGCACUUUGAAAAGAGGGUUAAAUAGCACGUGAAAUUGUUGAAAGGGAAGCGUUUGCGACCAGACCUUCUCCAGGGGGAUCAACCGUUAUUUUUAGCGGUGCACUCCCCCUGGUUUAGGCCAGCAUCGGUUCUCUUAGGGGGAUAAAGGCCUGGGGAACGUAGCUCUUUAGGGAGUGUUAUAGCCCCUAGCGUAAUACCCUUCAGGGGACCGAGGACCGCGCUUCGGCAAGGAUGCUGGCGUAAUGGUCGUCAACGACCCGUCUUGAAACACGGACCAAGGAGUCGAACAUUUGUGCGAGUGUUUGGGUGUUAAACCCUCACGCGUAAUGAAAGUGAACGGAGGUGAGAGCCUUAGGGUGCAUCAUCGACCGAUCCUGAUGUCUUCGGAUGGAUUUGAGUAAGAGCAUAACUGUUCGGACCCGAAAGAUGGUGAACUAUGCGUGGAUAGGGUGAAGCCAGAGGAAACUCUGGUGGAGGCUCGCAGCGGUUCUGACGUGCAAAUCGAUCGUCAAAUCUGCGCAUGGGGGCGAAAGACUUAUCGAAC
This 863-nucleotide ribosomal RNA is filed under the name Annulohypoxylon crowfoothodgkiniae. Its description in RNAcentral is "partial large subunit ribosomal RNA". It matches the Rfam family "Eukaryotic large subunit ribosomal RNA", at positions 48 to 940 of the family's 3401-position model. Lineage: Eukaryota; Fungi; Ascomycota; Sordariomycetes; Xylariales; Hypoxylaceae. The record is from RNAcentral.